This 494-nucleotide ribosomal RNA is filed under the name uncultured bacterium. RNAcentral's name for it is "partial 16S ribosomal RNA". It matches the Rfam family "Bacterial small subunit ribosomal RNA", at positions 899 to 1397 of the family's 1533-position model. The record is from RNAcentral.
ACUCAAAUGAAUUGACGGGGACCCGCACAAGCGGUGGAUGAUGUGGAUUAAUUCGAUGCAACGCGAAAAACCUUACCUACCCUUGACAUGGUCGGAAUCUUCAAGAGAUUGAGGAGUGCUCGAAAGAGAACCGGCGCACAGGUGCUGCAUGGCUGUCGUCAGCUCGUGUCGUGAGAUGUUGGGUUAAGUCCCGCAACGAGCGCAACCCUUAUCAUUAGUUGCUACGCAAGGGCACUCUAAUGAGACUGCCGGUGACAAACCGGAGGAAGGUGGGGAUGACGUCAAGUCCUCAUGGCCCUUAUGGGUAGGGCUUCACACGUCAUACAAUGGUACGUACAAAGGGUUGCCAACCCGCGAGGGGGAGCUAAUCUCAGAAAGCGUAUCGUAGUCCGGAUUGUAGUCUGCAACUCGACUACAUGAAGUUGGAAUCGCUAGUAAUCGCGGAUCAGCAUGUCGCGGUGAAUACGUUCCCGGGUCUUGCACACACCGCCCGU